Molecule: long non-coding RNA, 1547 nt
Organism: Gallus gallus (chicken)
Lineage: Eukaryota; Metazoa; Chordata; Aves; Galliformes; Phasianidae
Source: Ensembl
AGCUGUGCUGGAAGAGCCUGUGCUUCUAACGGUGGCCCUUCACCUUUUCCAGAUAAUAUCACAUUCUUCAGAGGCUCAGACACCCACCAUCUUACCUGCAGGCUACGCAGAGGGCAGAGAGCAAAGCAAGUGCAAAGAAGACAGUCCCUGUUAAAAUUGCCAGCAUCAUUAUGUUUUCCAUUCUCUCCUGCCUUACAGCAUCCACGGGGUUGGGUUCUGUGAUGUUCUUGUAUUCAAAGAGCAUUGCGAAGCCUCUGCCCCGGUUGGUGGUGGUAAUGAGUUCCAUGAUAACCUCAACCAUUUCCAGAGAUGAACCAAAGACCAUGGUCUUGUUUAGAGGUGAAUUUGGUCCACAGAAACGAGAGGAAAACGUGAUGAGAUCUGAAACAUACAGUACAUCGUGGGGACAGACAUCCACUGCUGGCUGUUGGCUGGAGAUUUCCACUGGCAGCAUUGUUGUGGGAAGCGUCCAGCUCUCUCCCAGACUUUCAUCUCUCUCACUAGCAGCUAGGUGGGCAAACAAAAUAUUGCCUUUCCAACCUUCUUUUGUUUCUUGGCUGCUAACAUUUUGUCUCUGUGUUGUGGCACCACCAGAAUCAGGUAAUGGCUGUUCUUCUGUUUGAGUCUCCGUAAUCGCUUGUGGUUCCUUCAUCUGUUUUGACUGGUUUCCUUCGGACAUCUGUUUGGCUUCAUCUUUCUUUGAGGCUGCUCCUGGAAGUUCAUCUAGGUGGCCAGGAAGUCCUUUUGACUGAUCUCCUGCGCCGCUCAGAUUCUGAGCUGCCUUCGACAUCCAGCUCUGAAGAGGGGAUUUUGUAGUCUGAAGAACAAAGUCCAGGUUUUCCUCGGGAGGAGUCACGUCCUUAUUUCCUGUUAUUGCAGCGGCUGGAAAGCCAUCCCAGGGGGUUGGAGUUUCACUAGAGCUCUCAAAAAUGUCAAAGUCAAAAAUUUCCAAGAUAAGAUGUGUUCUUAUGGGAAUGAAAAACUGCCAAACACAGUGUGUCCCUGGGUAGUAGUUGUUUGGAAAUCCUGGUGAUAAAAUCAGGCCUCUUUCCAUUGACUCCACCACCGCACCACAGGAAUAAUAGACCUGGGAAAUAAGACAAGUACACUUAUUUCUUGCCAGAGGCAAUAUACAGGACGCAGCACGCUGGACCUAAGCAAGGUCCUACCCCUUCACUUUAGUGACUGGUGUAAAGUAGACUUUUACAGGCUUCAUGAAUUCUGAGUUCUUGAGGCUAUCUUCUGCUUUCACAUUUAGAGCCUUAAUCUCUAAUAUGGACAACCAAUCUUAGAGACUGCAAGAGUGCAUACUGAGCACACAGCUUCUGCAGAAAUAUAAUCCAGAUGAACAAUUCAUGAAAUGUUCAUGUUCUAUCCCUAUUUCUAUUAUAAUAGAGUCCCUUUCUGCUUUUGCCUAAUGCACAUUCCCAGGUUAUUGAAUCCUGAAUACAUUUGUUGUUGACACACAACUCUUCACUGCACAAAUGUGUCAUCCUAAACAGCCUGUAGUGUGAUAAAAACCUUAAGCUGAAGAAAAACUGUGUCAC